GAUGAACGCUGGCGGCGUGCCUAAUACAUGCAAGUCGAGCGAACGGACGAGAAGCUUGCUUCUCUGAUGUUAGCGGCGGACGGGUGAGUAACACGUGGAUAACCUACCUAUAAGACUGGGAUAGCUUCGGGAAACCGGAGCUAAUACCGGAUGAUAUUUUGAACCGCAUGGUUCAAAGGUGAAAGACGGUCUUGCUGUCACUUAUAGAUGGAUCCGCGCUGCAUUAGCUAGUUGGUAAGGUAACGGCUUACCAAGGCAACGAUGCAUAGCCGACCUGAGAGGGUGAUCGGCCACACUGGAACUGAGACACGGUCCAGACUCCUACGGGAGGCAGCAGUAGGGAAUCUUCCGCAAUGGGCGAAAGCCUGACGGAGCAACGCCGCGUGAGUGAUGAAGGUCUUCGGAUCGUAAAACUCUGUUAUUAGGGAAGAACAUAUGUGUAAGUAACUGUGCACAUCUUGACGGUACCUAAUCAGAAAGCCACGGCUAACUACGUG
RNAcentral lists this ribosomal RNA (497 nucleotides) under uncultured bacterium. Its description in RNAcentral is "partial 16S ribosomal RNA". It matches the Rfam family "Bacterial small subunit ribosomal RNA", at positions 28 to 507 of the family's 1533-position model. The record is from RNAcentral.